GAUGAACGCUGGCGGCGUGCUUAACACAUGCAAGUCGAACGCUGAAGCUCCCAGCUUGCUGGGGGUGGAUGAGUGGCGAACGGGUGAGUAUCACGUGAGGAACCUGCCCUGAACUGUGGGAUAAGCCUGGGAAACUGGGUCUAAUACUACAUAGGACGCUCCAUCGCAUGGUGGGGUGUGGAAAGCUUUUGCGGUUUGGGAUGGUCUCGCGGCCUAUCAGCUUGUUGGUGGGGUAAUGGCCUACCAAGGCUUUGACGGGUAGCCGGCCUGAGAGGGUGACCGGCCACACUGGGACUGAGACACGGCCCAGACUCCUACGGGAGGCAGCAGUGGGGGAUAUUGCACAAUGGGGGAAACCCUGAUGCAGCGACGCCGCGUGAGGGAUGACGGCCUUCGGGUUGUAAACCUCUUUCAGUUGGGAAGAAGCCCCUUUUUGGGGUGACGGUACCUUCAGAAGAAGCACCGGCUAACUACGUGCCAGCAGCCGCGGUAAUACGUAGGGUGCGAGCGUUAUCCGGAAUUAUUGGGCGUAAAGAGCUCGUAGGCGGUUUGUCGCGUCUGCUGUGAAAGCCCAGGGCUUAAUCCUGGGUUUGCAGUGGGUACGGGCAGGCUGGAGUGCAGUAGGGGAGACUGGAAUUCCUGGUGUAGCGGUGAAAUGCGCAGAUAUCAGGAGGAACACCGAUGGCGAAGGCAGGUCUCUGGGCUGUUACUGACGCUGAGGAGCGAAAGCAUGGGGAGCGAACAGG
Molecule: ribosomal RNA, 746 nt
Filed under: uncultured Yaniella sp.
Lineage: Bacteria; Bacillati; Actinomycetota; Actinomycetes; Micrococcales; Micrococcaceae
Description: bacterial SSU rRNA
Rfam family: Bacterial small subunit ribosomal RNA
Source: RNAcentral